This 219-nucleotide long non-coding RNA is filed under the name Medicago truncatula (barrel medic). Its description in RNAcentral is "long non-coding RNA (MTRU_LNC007301)". The record is from RNAcentral. Lineage: Eukaryota; Viridiplantae; Streptophyta; Magnoliopsida; Fabales; Fabaceae.
UAUUUUUCAGUUAGAUUUGUUUCAGUUUUAUAAGGGUUUACUUUCCACUAUAAAUACAGCCUUGUAUCAGAUGAUAAAAGUGUGUAGAAAAACAAGGUUUAGACCAACAAACAAACUAGGGUUUAUAGAGAAUCUCUCUUGGCAACAACUCUAGGGUUGGGAUUGUUUUGAUUCACCUUGAACAAAACACUAUUAGGAUUGAGUCUCUUGGUCANNNNN